RNAcentral lists this ribosomal RNA (503 nucleotides) under uncultured bacterium. RNAcentral's name for it is "partial 16S ribosomal RNA". It matches the Rfam family "Bacterial small subunit ribosomal RNA", at positions 30 to 523 of the family's 1533-position model. The record is from RNAcentral.
AUUGAACGCUGGCGGCAGGCUUAACACAUGCAAGUCGAGCGGGGUGAUGGUGCUUGCACUAUCACUUAGCGGCGGACGGGUGAGUAAUGCUUAGGAAUCUGCCUAUUAGUGGGGGACAACAUCUCGAAAGGGAUGCUAAUACCGCAUACGUCCUACGGGAGAAAGCAGGGGAUCACUUGUGACCUUGCGCUAAUAGAUGAGCCUAAGUCGGAUUAGCUAGUUGGUGGGGUAAAGGCCCACCAAGGCGACGAUCUGUAGCGGGUCUGAGAGGAUGAUCCGCCACACUGGGACGGAGACACGGCCCAGACUCGUACGGGAGGCAGCAGGGGGGAAUAUUGGACAAUGGGGUGAACCCUGAUCCAGCCAUGCCGCGUGUGUGAAGAAGGCCUUAUGGUUGUAAAGCACUUUAAGCGAGGAGGAGGCUCUUUUGGUUAAUACCCAAGAUGAGUGGACGUUACUCGCAGAAUAAGCACCGGCUAACUCUGUGCCAGCCGCCGCGGUAA